UACUUUUUAAAAAUAAAGUUCAUUGGAACCACUUUCAUUUACAUAUUGCGUAUGGCUGCUUUUGCUCUGAGUGGUAGUUGUGACAGAAAUUAUAUGUAAAGAUUAAAGUAUUAUCUGCCCCUUUAUAUAAAAGAAAAUUUUGUUGUCUCCUGUUACUAUUUGUUUGUCAAAGUUAAUUGUCACCUCUUCAGAGAAGUAUCUCCAGUUUCCUAGGAAUUAGUUGUUCUGUUUACUCAACUUCUGGGCACCAUGUUUACUUAAUUGUUAUAUGACUUUUACCAUACUAGUCCCAUUUAUUUUUAUACAUUUCACUCCCUUCUUACCUGACCAGCAUAUGUAAAUAUGUAUCUUGUGCUCAUGUACUUACAGCUUCUUCCUUCCCCUAACCCCCAUGACUAUAAUCUGAGGGCAAAGAGCAUAACUAGUUUUGAUUCACAAAAGACAUUAUGUAUUCAGUAAUUGUUUAGUGCAAGAAUGAUUGGCAUUUUAUAGUGAUAGUUCUGAUUAUAAAUUAAGUGGGAAUUAAAGUUGUGAGUAUAAAUUAAAGUGGGAAUUAGACUAAGGUUUAAAUAUGUUACAUAUUUGGUAUUGUUAUUGUAUCCUUAAUUCAAAACUUGGACUUUUUUCUAAAAGGUUUGAAUAGUCAAAAUGUAAUUUAAUUACUGAAAUAUCCUACAGUUAAUAUGAUCUAUCUGAUCAUAAGGACUUUACUGAUUUUAACUCAGUGAAUUUUAACUCCUUAGCUUCAAAUUUGCAAAUAUAAUUAUUUUGUUUGUUUAUUUAUGACUUAUGAUGAGAACCUUGGAAGCUUUACAAACUCACAUCAAAUGUCAGAGCAGUGGGAAAGCU
Pipistrellus kuhlii (Kuhl's pipistrelle) is the source of this 849-nucleotide long non-coding RNA. RefSeq lists it as uncharacterized. The transcript has 2 exons. The record is from RefSeq and is a predicted model, not a curated record. Lineage: Eukaryota; Metazoa; Chordata; Mammalia; Chiroptera; Vespertilionidae.